AACGAACGCUGGCGGCAGGCCUAACACAUGCAAGUCGAGCGCCCCGCAAGGGAGGCGGCGGACGGGUGGAGUAACGCGUGGGAACGGUGCCUCUUGCUACGGAAUAGCCUCGGGAAACUGGGAGUAAUACCGUAUGUGCCCUACGGGGGAAAGGAUUUAUCGGCAAGAGAUCGGCCCGCGUUGGAUUAGGUAGUUGGUGGGGUAAUGGCCUACCAAGCCGACGAUCCAUAGCUGGUUUGAGAGGAUGAUCAGCCACACUGGGACUGAGACACGGCCCAGACUCCUACGGGAGGCAGCAGUGGGGGAAUCUUAGACAAUGGGCGCAAGCCUGAUCUAGCCAUGCCGCGUGAGCGAUGAAGGCCUUAGGGUUGUAAAGCUCUUUCAGUGAGGAAGAUAAUGACUGUACCCACAGAAGAAGCCCCGGCUAACUCCGUGCCAGCAGCCGCGGUAAUGU
This 454-nucleotide ribosomal RNA is filed under the name uncultured bacterium. Its description in RNAcentral is "bacterial SSU rRNA". It matches the Rfam family "Bacterial small subunit ribosomal RNA", at positions 29 to 526 of the family's 1533-position model. The record is from RNAcentral.